CCGGGCGUGGCGGAACGGUAUACGCAUUCGACUUAAAAUCGAACGCCUUUAUGGCUUACGGGUUCAAAUCCCGUCGCCCGGA
Molecule: transfer RNA, 82 nt
Filed under: Granulibacter bethesdensis CGDNIH1
Lineage: Bacteria; Pseudomonadati; Pseudomonadota; Alphaproteobacteria; Acetobacterales; Acetobacteraceae
Rfam family: tRNA
About the family: Transfer RNA (tRNA) molecules are approximately 80 nucleotides in length. Their secondary structure includes four short double-helical elements and three loops (D, anti-codon, and T loops). Further hydrogen bonds mediate the characteristic L-shaped molecular structure. tRNAs have two regions of fundamental functional importance: the anti-codon, which is responsible for specific mRNA codon recognition, and the 3' end, to which the tRNAs corresponding amino acid is attached (by aminoacyl-tRNA synthetases). tRNAs cope with the degeneracy of the genetic code in two manners: having more than one tRNA (with a specific anti-codon) for a particular amino acid; and 'wobble' base-pairing, i.e. permitting non-standard base-pairing at the 3rd anti-codon position.
Source: Rfam by way of RNAcentral